GGACGAACGCUGGCGGCAUGCUUCAUACAUGCAAGUCGAACGAUAAGGUCUCUUCGGAGAUACAUAAGUGGCGGACGGGUGAGUAAUAUGUAGGAAAUCUGCCCUUGAGAGGGGGACAACAGAGGGAAACUUCUGCUAAUACCCCAUAUGAGCGUACCUGAAAUGGUAUUCUUGAAAACUCCGGUGCUCAAGGAUGAGCCUGCAUCUGAUUAGCUUGUUGGCGGUGUAAUGGACCACCAAGGCGACGAUCAGUAGCUGGUUUGAGAGGAUGAUCAGCCACAAUGGGACUGAGACACGGCCCAUACUCCUACGGGAGGCAGCAGUAGGGAAUUUUGCGCAAUGGGCGAAAGCCUGACGCAGCAAUGCCGCGUGAACGUAGAAGCCCUUCGGGGUGUAAAGUUCUGUCAGUAGGGACGAAUUUUGACGGUACCUACAGAGGAAGCACCGGCUAACUCCGUGCCAGCCGCCGC
RNAcentral lists this ribosomal RNA (470 nucleotides) under uncultured bacterium. Its description in RNAcentral is "bacterial SSU rRNA". It matches the Rfam family "Bacterial small subunit ribosomal RNA", at positions 27 to 518 of the family's 1533-position model. The record is from RNAcentral.